RNAcentral lists this ribosomal RNA (499 nucleotides) under uncultured bacterium. RNAcentral's name for it is "partial 16S ribosomal RNA". It matches the Rfam family "Bacterial small subunit ribosomal RNA", at positions 29 to 523 of the family's 1533-position model. The record is from RNAcentral.
AUUGAACGCUGGCGGCAUGCCUUACACAUGCAAGUCGAACGCGAAAGGGGGGCAACCCCUGAGUAGAGUGGCGCACGGGUGAGUAAUGCAUCGGAACGUGUCCUGUAGCGGGGGAUAACCUAGCGAAAGCUAGGCUAAUACCGCAUACGCCCUAAGGGGGAACGUGGGGGAUCGUAAGACCUCACACUAUAGGAGCGGCCGAUGCCGGAUUAGCUAGUUGGUGGGGUAAAAGCUCACCAAGGCGACGAUCCGUAGCUGGUCUGAGAGGAUGAUCAGCCACACUGGGACUGAGACACGGCCCAGACUCCUACGGGAGGCAGCAGUGGGGAAUUUUGGACAAUGGGGGAAACCCUGAUCCAGCCAUGCCGCGUGAGUGAAGAAGGCCUUCGGGUUGUAAAGCUCUUUCGGCCGGGACGAAAUCGCACGCGUGAAUAUCGUGUGCGGAUGACGGUACCGGCAGAAGAAGGACCGGCUAACUACGUGCCAGCAGCCGCCGCAG